Small nuclear RNA from Gorilla gorilla gorilla (western lowland gorilla), 116 nucleotides. Its record names the gene U5. It matches the Rfam family "U5 spliceosomal RNA". Rfam says of the family: U5 RNA is a component of both types of known spliceosome. Lineage: Eukaryota; Metazoa; Chordata; Mammalia; Primates; Hominidae. The record is from Ensembl.
AAAGUCUGGUAUCUCUUCAGAUUAUAUCAAUUUUUCACCUUUUCCUAAAGAUUUAUGUGAAGAGAAACAAUUCUGAGUCUUAACCAAAUUUUUUGAGGCCUUUAGUCUUCAAGGCA